This 464-nucleotide ribosomal RNA is filed under the name uncultured bacterium. RNAcentral's name for it is "partial 16S ribosomal RNA". It matches the Rfam family "Bacterial small subunit ribosomal RNA", at positions 28 to 507 of the family's 1533-position model. The record is from RNAcentral.
GACGAACGCUGGCGGCGUGCUUAACACAUGCAAGUCGAACGGAAAGGCCCUGCUUGCAGGGUACUCGAGUGGCGAACGGUGAGUUAACCGGGGGUGAUUUGCCCCGCAAUUUGGGGUUAGGCCGGGAAACUGGGUCCAAUAACGGAUUGGGGCCCUUUUUAGUGUGAUGGUUGGAAAGUUUUUUUGGUGUAGGAUGAGCUCGCGGCCUAUCAGCUUGUUGGUGGGGUAAUGGCCUACCAAGGGGGCGACGGGUAGCCGGCCUGGGAGGGUGGACGGCCACAUUGGGACUGAGAUACGGCCCAGACUCCUACGGGAGGCAGCAGUGGGGAAUAUUGCACAAUGGGCGCAAGCCUGAUGCAGCGACGCCGCGUGGGGGAUGACGGCCUUCGGGCUGUAAACUCCUUUCGCUAGGGACGAAGCUUUUUGUGACGGUACCUAGAUAAGAAGCACCGGCUAACUACGUG